RNAcentral lists this ribosomal RNA (250 nucleotides) under uncultured bacterium. Its description in RNAcentral is "partial 16S ribosomal RNA". It matches the Rfam family "Bacterial small subunit ribosomal RNA", at positions 524 to 773 of the family's 1533-position model. The record is from RNAcentral.
UACGAAGGUGGCAAGCGUUGUUCGGAAUCACUGGGCAUAAAGCGCGCGUAGGCGGUUAGAUCAGUCGGAUGUGAAAUCCCUCAGCUUAACUGAGGAACUGCGUCCGAUACUGUCUGACUUGAGGUCUGGAGGGGAGAAUGGAAUUCCUGGUGGAGCGGUGAAAUGCGUAGAGAUCAGGAGGAACGCCAGCGGCGAAAGCGAUUCUCUGGACAGAUUCUGACGCUGAGGUGCGAAAGCUAGGGGAGCAAAC